CCUCUGUGGCUCUAGAGGCGCACUGCAAGACCGAGGCUAGCUAACGUUUCCUGACCUAGCUAGCUGCUUUGGACAGCCUCGCAGAUUAUUGCCCAGGUGUUACCUUGGCUGACUGCUUCACCUCACCAGUGCCAACCCUGCUGCGAAUGACAACUAAUAUGGUGGUGGGCCCCGCCGAGACAUGUGGCCCACUUCCUGUAUGACUGAAGGAGGCUCAGCGUGAACUACUACAUCUCCACAGCCCAGAAUGCUGCAGCCCUCCACACAGGAACACGGAGCCCUGUGGCCAGUACACAUGCACAUCUCCUGAAGCAUGCGGAAACAUCGUGUUUUAAAUGGAGCAGUUUUUUAAAACCUUUGUUUAACCUUCAGGCACUCACUCUGAGA
Molecule: long non-coding RNA, 387 nt
Organism: Sebastes umbrosus (honeycomb rockfish)
Lineage: Eukaryota; Metazoa; Chordata; Actinopteri; Perciformes; Sebastidae
Exons: 3
Source: RefSeq, a predicted model, not a curated record